This 347-nucleotide long non-coding RNA is filed under the name Androctonus crassicauda. The record is from RNAcentral. Lineage: Eukaryota; Metazoa; Arthropoda; Arachnida; Scorpiones; Buthidae.
CCAGGCCACUCUCCUUCCCUGAACAGGCCCAGCAGGGCCCUAGCUCCCCCGCUGCUCUGUGGUUCCCUCUGCCUGGGACGCCCUUCCCCCCUCCUAUGCCUGGCAGUAUCUCUACUUGUCCUUUGAGGCCCCACUCGAGUGUCACCUCCUUCCCCAGCUCCCCAGGCAGAAAUAGUUGUGUGUGCUCCCAAAGCCCUUGGUUCAUGCUUCUACUGUGACACUUAUCUCACUGUUUUAUAAUUAGUUGGGCAUGAGUCUGUCUCCUGAGCUAGACUGUGUCUGAAUCAUGUCUGUAUCUCCAGUGCCCGGUGCAGGGCCUGGCCUAGAGUAGGUACUCCAUAAAAGGC